CAGGGUGUAGUUCAGUCUGGUAGAGCACGUGGUUUGGGACCACGUUGGCAGAGGUUCAAAUCCUCUCACCCUGACCA
RNAcentral lists this transfer RNA (77 nucleotides) under subsurface metagenome. RNAcentral describes it as "tRNA-Pro". It matches the Rfam family "tRNA". From Rfam's summary of the family: Transfer RNA (tRNA) molecules are approximately 80 nucleotides in length. Their secondary structure includes four short double-helical elements and three loops (D, anti-codon, and T loops). Further hydrogen bonds mediate the characteristic L-shaped molecular structure. tRNAs have two regions of fundamental functional importance: the anti-codon, which is responsible for specific mRNA codon recognition, and the 3' end, to which the tRNAs corresponding amino acid is attached (by aminoacyl-tRNA synthetases). tRNAs cope with the degeneracy of the genetic code in two manners: having more than one tRNA (with a specific anti-codon) for a particular amino acid; and 'wobble' base-pairing, i.e. permitting non-standard base-pairing at the 3rd anti-codon position. The record is from RNAcentral.